RNAcentral lists this ribosomal RNA (482 nucleotides) under uncultured bacterium. Its description in RNAcentral is "partial 16S ribosomal RNA". It matches the Rfam family "Bacterial small subunit ribosomal RNA", at positions 28 to 507 of the family's 1533-position model. The record is from RNAcentral.
GAUGAACGCUAGCGGCAGGCCUAAUACAUGCAAGUCGGACGGGAUUCAGGAGCUUGCUUCUGAUGAGAGUGGCGCACGGGUGCGUAACACGUAUGUAACCUACCUUUAUCAGGGGGAUAGCCUCUCGAAAGAGAGAUUAAGCCCGCAUAAAAUCACAGCACAGCAUUGUGUAAUGAUCAAAUAUUUAUAGGAUAAAGAUGGGCAUGCGGAACAUUAGCUAGAUGGCGGGGUAACGGCCCACCAUGGCGACGAUGUUUAGGGGAUCUGAGAGGAUGGCCCCCCACACGGGUACUGAGACACGGACCAGACGCCUACGGGAGGCAGCAGUAAGGAAUAGUGGUCAAUGGGCGGAAGCCUGAACCAGCCAUGCCGCGUGCAGGAAGACGGCCCUACGGGUUGUAAACUGCUUUUAUACGGGAAUAAACCCAGAUACGUGUAUCUGGCUGAAUGUACUGUAAGAAUAAGGAUCGGCUAACUCCGUG